This 23-nucleotide small nuclear RNA is filed under the name Arabidopsis thaliana (thale cress). Its description in RNAcentral is "snRNA_16219". The record is from RNAcentral. Lineage: Eukaryota; Viridiplantae; Streptophyta; Magnoliopsida; Brassicales; Brassicaceae.
UUCUUCACUAAAAUUAUCAUCUU